UAGCAUAUCAAUAAGCGGAGGAAAGAACCAACAGGGAUUGCCCCAGUAACGGCGAGUGAAGCGGCAACAGCUCAAAUUUGAAAUCUGGCCCCUCGGGCCCGAGUUGUAAUUUGUAGAGGAUGCUUUUGGCAAGGUGCCGCCCGAGUUCCCUGGAACGGGACGCCGCAGAGGGUGAGAGCCCCGUCUGGCUGGCCGCCGAGCCUCUGUAAAGCUCCUUCGACGAGUCGAGUAGUUUGGGAAUGCUGCUCAAAAUGGGAGGUAUAUGUCUUCUAAAGCUAAAUAUUGGCCAGAGACCGAUAGCGCACAAGUAGAGUGAUCGAAAGAUGAAAAGCACUUUGAAAAGAGGGUUAAACAGUACGUGAAAUUGUUGAAAGGGAAGCGCUCAUGACCAGACUUGGGCUUGGCGGAUCAUCCGGCGUUCUCGCCGGUGCACUUCGCCUCGCCCAGGCCAGCAUCAGUUCGCGCCGGGGGACAAAAGCUUCGGGAAUGUGGCUCCUCCGGGAGUGUUAUAGCCCGUUGCAUAAUACCCUGGGGCGGACUGAGGUUCGCGCAUCUGCAAGGAUGCUGGCGUAAUGGUCAUCAGCGACCCGUCUUGAAACACGGACCAAGGAGUCGUCUUCGUAUGCGAGUGUUCGGGUGUCAAACCCCUACGCGUAAUGAAAGUGAACGCAGGUGAGAGCUUCGGCGCAUCAUCGACCGAUCCUGAUGUUCUCGGAUGGAUUUGAGUAAGAGCAUACGGGGCCGGACCCGAAAGAAGGUGAACUAUGCCUGUAUAGGGUGAAGCCAGAGGAAACUCUGGUGGAGGCUCGCAGCGGUUCUGACGUGCAAAUCGAUCGUCAAAUAUGGGCAUGGGGGCGAAAGACUAAUCGAACCUUCUAGUAGCUGGUUUCCGCCGAAU
RNAcentral lists this ribosomal RNA (898 nucleotides) under Hypomyces samuelsii. Its description in RNAcentral is "LSU rRNA". It matches the Rfam family "Eukaryotic large subunit ribosomal RNA", at positions 36 to 966 of the family's 3401-position model. Lineage: Eukaryota; Fungi; Ascomycota; Sordariomycetes; Hypocreales; Hypocreaceae. The record is from RNAcentral.